UUAAUUGAAACCAAAAAGAGGUAUAUUACUGUUAAUAAUAAAAUUGAGUCUUAAUCUCCAAUUAAA
This 66-nucleotide transfer RNA is filed under the name Rhagonycha tryznai. RNAcentral's name for it is "tRNA-Asn". Lineage: Eukaryota; Metazoa; Arthropoda; Insecta; Coleoptera; Cantharidae. The record is from RNAcentral.